AGAGAGACUGUAAUGUCUUAGAAUGAGAGAUAUGCAAUGUUGUUUUUCAAAGAGAACGGGGAUGGGUACUUAUAGUACUAAAAUGAGUGAACAAACAAGGCACCAAACUAUAAUUAAGGAACGAGCAUCAAUCACAAUCCAUCAAUUUAAGGAUUUUCCCUUUAAUUAAGGAUCCAAGACUAUCGGCAACAAGCAGUGGAUCUAAAAAGGGAAAAGAAUCAAUCAGACUUUACAUUUACCCUAGUAAGAGCACAUAAUAUGCAAUAGAGGUUAGAUACAUAAUAAUUCGAGUAAGGAAAAUAUAUGCU
Molecule: long non-coding RNA, 308 nt
Filed under: Nicotiana benthamiana
Lineage: Eukaryota; Viridiplantae; Streptophyta; Magnoliopsida; Solanales; Solanaceae
Description: long non-coding RNA (NBEN_LNC034169)
Source: RNAcentral